RNAcentral lists this long non-coding RNA (3564 nucleotides) under Hordeum vulgare. RNAcentral's name for it is "long non-coding RNA (HVUL_LNC004227)". Lineage: Eukaryota; Viridiplantae; Streptophyta; Magnoliopsida; Poales; Poaceae. The record is from RNAcentral.
CGUUAGAAGUACAUGUACUGAAGAGAAGAGUUUAUGGAAUUGUCUUACACUUGCCACAAGCUACAUCCUUGUCACAUCAGUACAAUACAUAAAUAUCACGAAGAAGAGCAGGGUCCGACUACGGACGAAAAAAACGAGAAAAGAACGACGUCCAUCCUUGCUAUCCCAGGCUGCCAGCCUGGAACCCAUCCUAGAUCGAUGAAGAAGAAGAAAACGAAGCAACUCCAAAUGAACAAUCAACGCGCUCCCGACAAGUAAUAUUUACCUGUACCUGCAACUGGUGUUGUAGUAAUAUGUGAGCCACAGGGGACUCAACAAUCUCAUUUCCAAAGGUAUCAAGACUAGCAAAGCUUAAUGGGUGAGGUAUGGUUAAGUGGUGAGGCUGCAUCAAGCGACUAAGCAUUUAUAUGAGGUGGCUAACUUACGAGUACAAGAAUAAGAGCGGAACAUCUAUGCAUAACGGACGUGAACUACUAAUGAUCAAAUGAAUGAUCCUGAACACCUACUUACGUCAAACAUAACCCCACCGUGACCUCGAUCGGAGAAGGAGCUCACGAAAGAGACAGUCACGGUUACACACUCAGUUGGCAUGUUUUUAAUUAAGUUUACUUCAAGUUAUCUAGAACCGGACGUUAAACAAAGUUUCCAUGUUUCCACAUAACCGUGGGCACGGCUUUCCGAAAGAUUUAACCCUGUAGGGGUGCUCCAACCAGUCCAUCAUAAAUUAGCACAAGCUGCACAGAAAGCCUCGGUCACGAAACUCGUGACUUCGUCGGAUUCCUUAGUAGAAAAACCUCAACUCUGAGAUUGCACAAAGCAUCACCGGAAUCUCGAUGCACAAGACAUUUGUCAAAGGUAAAACUAAUCCAGCAAGGUCGCCCGACGUGUCGACGAUCCCGAUAGGAGUCGCGUAUCUCGUUCUCAAGACACGACGGAUUGUCCAAACUUCCGGUAGGCCAAUCACAGAGUUGCCCCUGGUAGCCACCGGCGGUUGAUAGGUUGGACCAACCCCCAUGCGUAGCACUGUCCCGGGGGUUGAUUAAAUUUCCUCAUGUUAAUUACUCCCUAUGUGGUUCAUUAGUUAUUAGGAAAAUGUAGUACCAAAGAUGGGCCUUGCCAGAGCAGUUUUAAUCUAAAAGGAAUUAUCAUGGGGGUCCCCAUAACAACCCCGAUCGUGUUAGGAGCGCUCAGUUAUGGAACAGAACACCGGUAGCCGAAACUAAGGGGGGAAAGGUGGAACAAAACACCAGGCUAGAAAGCCAAGCCUUCCUCAUUUUAUCAAGUAUAUAGGUGCAUUAAACUAAUUAGCAAUUAAUAGGGUGAUAUGACAAGGAACCCAUGUUAUCACAUGGAAGCAUCUGCACCUGCAACUAGCAAUGCUAACACAUGGUUAAGCAAGCGGUAACAUAGACAAUCAGUGGUUUGCUAGGUUGUGAAUAGGCUGAAGGUUUCAUGGCAAUGUGGAGAGGCUGACAUUUAAUAGGUGGUAGACAACGAGACAUAGCGAUAGAAUUGAUACAAUUAGAAUGGCAUUGAUAGUAAUUAUAUCUAGGGAAAUGGUCAUCUUGCGUGAGAUCCUGCUUGGAAGAAGAAUGACUCCAUGAAGCAGACGAACCGACGUAGUCGAACGGAUUCUCACUCUCCGAAGCGGUCGGAACUCUACCGAGACGAAGCAAACUGGAAACAAGAAUCAACACACGAUGCACAACACAAAUGAUGCAUGAGCGGUUUCAUUUACGCACGGUACGACAUGACAAUUCACACAAUCAAACACUACAUAUUAAGUGAAGUUCAAUAUGCAACGAGUUGCAUAUCGAUGAAACUCCAUCUUUAAUUAUUUAGUUCUAUCCCGAUUAGUUACACGGAAAUAUUAAAUGUUAAUUAGACAUGGCAAGAGGUGAAGCGUAAUUAAGCUUCCUAUCUAGGCAUUUUAAAUGAGGUUGGAAACGACAUAUAGCAUCUCCGAUAUGACCCCACACGUUAUAUUAGAAUUAUGUCUAGAUCUGAACUAACAUGUUUUAAUAUUUGUUAAACAGAAAAACAAAGUGGUUCACGUGAUUCCACCCGUCGUUCUAGCCCAUUUGCAUAUAUGGCUCAUGUCCAACGGAGUUACGGUGAAUUAACCAUGACCUAAACCGUUUUUAACAUGAUGACACGCAAACCGAUGCAAACAGCUCAGUAAACAGUUUUAAAUAUGCAUGAGAGUUGGAAAAUAUUUAUCUACGCAAAAUUCUAGCAAAGUUACAUAAAUAACUUGCUGCGAUCCGACUCAAGGAUUAAAAUCUACGGGCGUUUUAAAAUAGGCACCUAAUCUCCAAUUAGACAAAUUCGCACGUGGGGAAAAAACUCACUCGGCCGAAUUGCACCAUAGUGCAGCAGCCCAGGAUGAUUUGGCCAAGGUGGCUGUGUGUAGGAUAAAACAAAUAAAACAUGGAAAAUGAGGAGGCUCGGAAUAGAACCCAAGACCUACUAGGUGUGACCUAACGUGGGUCAACAAUGGGCUAGUCGUGUCAUUGUGCUAGUGAUGUGCAUUCGGUUAUUAUACAUAACAACCAGGGCUGAUAAAAGACAAUGCAAAAUCGCUGAGAAAAACUAUGUUGGAGCCGGUGGGAUUUGAUCCCUGGUCUACUGCGUGGAGGUUCAACGUCGUGACCAGCUGGGCUACGAUGGAUUCGUGCUAAAAGAAGGAUUCCUUCACUAGAUGAGCAUACACAAACGCUGAAUCUGAACUUAACAAAUCUGAAUCACCAACUCGGCUGUAACUGAACCUGAUUGGAACUAUUCGGCCGUGGCUGAAGACGCAGAUGCAGGUGGGCUCGUCUUUGGCGGGAUGGGGCUGCGUUGGAGAAGGUCGAGACGGGGAGCAGGCAACGGGAUCCGGCGGCGGUGCUUGGCCUCGUCCGAUUCCUGGCCGGGCAUGCAGCACACAGCGGCAGAGCUUGCUCCUCUUGCAGCCAUGGCAGGUUCCUGAGACACAAGGAGAGACAGAGAGAUGGUGAGAGGGAGAGAGGAAGGAGAAGCAUGAGAAAGGAUAGGGAAGGGACGCACGAGGGAACCGGUCUGGUGGCUGCUCUCAUGGCUGCCGGCGGUGGCGCCAGUCGCCGGACAACGAGGCAACCCAGAGGAGCACGGGUCUCCUACUAUAGAUCGGGAGCAGCGAGCGGCUCACGGGGCGACAUCGAGAGGCUCUACACAAGGGAGGAACGAAGCAAGGCGACGGAGACUUGUCAGAUACCGCCGACAAGGAGGUCCCUCGCGACACUCACGGCGGCGACCAUCCAUGGAGCUAGGCAAAGCUCCUGAUGGUCCUCCAGCAAGAGAGAAAGACUGCAAGGUGAGGGAGAGAUAGGAGGAAGGGAAAAUGGGAGGAAUCAGAGGAGAGGGACGCGACGGUCCUAUUGGAGGUGAUGCGGGGGCUUCGAGCUCGCCAUGGAGGUCAAUGACGGGGCAUGUGGCUGCGCGGGGCUGCCCUGGAUAGAACAUGAGGAAGGAGGAGGCCGCACUUGGUUGGCAAGAUGAGAAAACGAGGUGGGUGGCGGCGGCUACGGGAGAAGAUGGAGGAUU